Molecule: ribosomal RNA, 905 nt
Filed under: uncultured Gammaproteobacteria bacterium
Lineage: Bacteria; Pseudomonadati; Pseudomonadota; Gammaproteobacteria
Description: bacterial SSU rRNA
Rfam family: Bacterial small subunit ribosomal RNA
Source: RNAcentral
GAGUUUGAUUAUGGCUCAGAUUGAACGCUGGCGGCAGGCCUAACACAUGCAAGUCGAGCGGUAACAUUUCUAGCUUGCUAGAAGAUGACGAGCGGCGGACGGGUGCGUAACACGUAGGAAUCUACCCAGUAGCGGGGGAUAGCCCGGAGAAAUCCGGAUUAAUACUGCAUACGCCCUACGGGGGAAAGCAGGGGCUCGCUCUUUCGAGAGUGACCUUGCACUAUUGGAUGAGCCUGCGUCGGAUUAGCUUGUUGGCGGGGUAAUGGCCUACCAAGGCAACGAUCCGUAGCUGAUCUGAGAGGAUGAUCAGCCACACUGGGACUGAGACACGGCCCAGACUCCUACGGGAGGCAGCAGUGGGGAAUAUUGCACAAUGGGCGAAAGCCUGAUGCAGCCAUGCCGCGUGUGUGAAGAAGGCUCUAGGGUUGUAAAGCACUUUCAGCGAGGAGGAAAGGUUAAAGAUUAAUACUCUUUAGCUGUGACGUUACUCGCAGAAGAAGCACCGGCUAACUCCGUGCCAGCAGCCGCGGUAAUACGGAGGGUGCGAGCGUUAAUCGGAAUUACUGGGCGUAAAGCGUGCGUAGGCGGCUGUCUAAGUUGGGUGUGAAAGCCCCGGGCUCAACCUGGGAACUGCAUCCAAAACUGGAUAGCUAGAGUGCGGAAGAGGAGUGUGGAAUUUCCUGUGUAGCGGUGAAAUGCGUAGAUAUAGGAAGGAACACCAGUGGCGAAGGCGACACUCUGGUCUGACACUGACGCUGANGUACGAAAGCGUGGGGAGCAAACAGGGUUAGAUACCCUGGUAGUCCACGCCGUAAACGAUGUCUACUAGUUGUCGGGACUCUUGCAGUCUUGGUAACGCAGCUAACGCGAUAAGUAGACCGCCUGGGGAGUACGGCCGCNAGGUU